UGGGGAAUUUUGGACAAUGGACGAAAGCCUGAUCCAGCAAUGCCGCGUGUGUGAAGAAGGCCUUCGGGUUGUAAAGCACUUUUGUCCGGAAAGAAAUCCUUGGCUCUAAUACAGUCGGGGGAUGACGGUACCGGAAGAAUAAGCACCGGCUAACUACGUGCCAGCAGCCGCGGUAAUACGUAGGGUGCAAGCGUUAAUCGGAAUUACUGGGCGUAAAGCGUGCGCAGGCGGUUUGCUAAGACCGAUGUGAAAAUCCCCGGGCUCAACCUGGGAACUGCAUUGGUGACUGGCAGGCUAGAGUAUGGCAGAGGGGGGUAGAAUUCCACGUGUAGCAGUGAAAAUGCGUAGAGAUGUGGAGGAAUACCGAUGGCGAAGGCAGCCCCCUGGGCCAAAUACUGACGCUCAUGCACGAAAAGCGUGGGGGAGCAAAACAGGAUUAGAUACCCUGGUAGUCCACGCCCUAAAACGAUGUCAACUAGUUGUUGGGGAUUCAUUUCCUUAGUAACGUAGCUAACGCGUGAAAGUUGACCGCCUGGGGGAGUACGGUCGCAAAGAUUAAAAACUCAAAUGAAUUGACGGGGUCAU
Molecule: ribosomal RNA, 585 nt
Filed under: uncultured bacterium
Lineage: Bacteria
Description: partial 16S ribosomal RNA
Rfam family: Bacterial small subunit ribosomal RNA
Source: RNAcentral